GUGGACAAUCUAACCUAAGGUGGGGGAUAACCCCGGGAAACUGGGGAUAAUACCCCAUAGACUAUGGGUGCUGGAAUGCUCUGUAGUUGAAAGGUCCGCCGCCAUAGGAUGAGUCUGCGGCCGAUUAGGUUGUUGUUGGGGUAACGGCCCAACAAGCCUGUAAUCGGUACGGGUUGUGGGAGCAAGAGCCCGGAGAUGGAUUCUGAGACACGAAUCCAGGCCCUACGGGGCGCAGCAGGCGCGAAAACUUUACAAUGCGGGAAACCGUGAUAAGGGAACUCCGAGUGCCCGUAAAAUCGGGCUGUCCACCAGUGCAAAUAACUGGUGAAGAAAGGGCCGGGCAAGACCGGUGCCAGCCGCCGCGGUAAUACCGGCGGCUCGAGUGGUGGCCACUAUUACUGGGCUUAAAGCGUUCGUAGCUGGUCUGUUAAGUCUCUGGGGAAAUCUACUGGCUUAACCAAUAGGCAUCUCAGGGAUACUGGCAGACUAGGGACCGGGAGAGGUGAGGGGUACUCCAGGGGUAGGAGUGAAAUCCUGUAAUCCUUGGGGGACCACCUGUGGCGAAGGCGCCUCACCAGAACGGCUCCGACAGUGAGGGACGAAAGCUGGGGGAGCAAACCGGAUUAGAUACCCGGGUAGUCCCAGCUGUAAACGAUGCGCGUUAGGUGUAUCGGUGACCACGAGUCACCGAGGUGCCGAGAGAAAUCGUGAAACGUGCCGCCUGGGAAGUACGGUCGCA
This 739-nucleotide ribosomal RNA is filed under the name uncultured archaeon. RNAcentral describes it as "bacterial SSU rRNA". It matches the Rfam family "Archaeal small subunit ribosomal RNA", at positions 100 to 845 of the family's 1478-position model. The record is from RNAcentral.